This 465-nucleotide ribosomal RNA is filed under the name uncultured bacterium. RNAcentral describes it as "partial 16S ribosomal RNA". It matches the Rfam family "Bacterial small subunit ribosomal RNA", at positions 28 to 507 of the family's 1533-position model. The record is from RNAcentral.
GAUGAACGCUGGCGGCGUGCUUAAUACAUGCAAGUCGUACGGUAAGACGCUGUCCUUGCUACACUGAUGUCAAACGCGUAAGUAACACUAAAGUAACGUUCCCCCAACUUUAGGAUAAGGCUAGGAUACGGGUACUAAUACUAGAUAUGUGCUCCUUCUUCAUGGUGGGGGUUGAAAAGCUCCGGCGGGUGUGGAUGGACUCUCUGGCUAGAAGCUUGUUGGUUGAGUAGUUGCCUACCAAGGCGGCUACGGGUAGCCGGCCUGAGAGGGUGACCGGCCACAUUGGGACUGAGAUACGGCCCAGAUACCUACGGGAGGCAGAAGUGGGGAAUAUUGCCCAAGGGGCGCCAGCCUGAUGAAGAAACGCCGCGUGCGGGAUGACGGCCUUAGGGUUGUAAAACGAUUUCAGAAGGGACGAAGCUUUUUGUGACGGUACCUGCAGAAGAAGCACCGGCUAACUACGUG